CGCGUAGGCGGCCUGGUAAGUCUGGAGUGAAAGUCCUGCUUUUAAGGUGGGAAUUGCUUUGGAUACUGCUGGGCUUGAGUGCAGGAGAGGUAAGUGGAAUUUCCUGUGUAGCGGUGAAAUGCGUAGAUAUAGGAAGGAACACCAGUGGCGAAGGCGACCACCUGGACUGAUACUGACACUGAGGUGCGAAAGCGUGGGAGCAAACA
Molecule: ribosomal RNA, 206 nt
Filed under: uncultured bacterium
Lineage: Bacteria
Description: partial 16S ribosomal RNA
Rfam family: Bacterial small subunit ribosomal RNA
Source: RNAcentral